Long non-coding RNA from Rhinopithecus roxellana (golden snub-nosed monkey), 895 nucleotides. RefSeq lists it as uncharacterized. The transcript is spliced from 4 exons. Lineage: Eukaryota; Metazoa; Chordata; Mammalia; Primates; Cercopithecidae. The record is from RefSeq and is a predicted model, not a curated record.
UUUUUCCUUUCUGAUUCUUCCAGAAGAGGACAAAAUCGGUUGGUGGAUGAUAGUUGCCCUUUGUCUAGAGGCUGGAUGUAGAAGGUGCUGCAAGCUCUGCAAGCUGAUUAGUUAAUGUGGAAGCUGAAACCUACCUUGGGAAGUUGACCACUGACCAUUGUCUUGCUUUUACCUGGGUUGCUUCCUUGUUUCUCUGUAGGUUUAUAGCAAAGGGUUAAGGCUGCAUAGAUCUCUGCAGUUACAAUUAUUCAUACCAGAAGAUCCCGCUAACUUCUUUGUUAUUUGAGCAGCUGGAUGAGAUUCCUGGUUUCCAUAAUCUGGACCUGGAGGCUUAUACAGGAGAGGAUCACUGGGGCAGACUUGAACCAUGGUGCCCACAAGUGGGGAGGGCGCUCCAGGGCCCAUGGAAAGAACUUCCUUCUGCAGUUGGAGACAGCCUUCUUUCUGUGUGGCGGGUUAUCAUGCUGACUUGACUAACACAAACCCCCAUCUGGAUGCAGUCCAAACGCCAGAUGUGCCCCCGAUUAGUGUCGGUCUGGGGAAUGUUUCCAUGACUGAAAGGCUGAAGGACAGAGUGUGAUUUUCCACUUGGAAGAGACUCCAGGGCUGUGCAGAGAGGGAAGUCCUGCUGACCCAUUUCAGUAGACUGUGACACUUCAGCGACCUGCAAAUUCUACACAUUAGAGUUCAUAUUUUAUACAAACUCCGUACACCUAAUAUGUGGACUUAACAUUUCUACCAACAACAUCCAACUUCCCAUAAAAGAUGCAGGCCCAUCAGAAGAUGAAAGCUAUGAAUGAAGAUCCAUUAAAGAUGAGAUUUAUGGCCACCCCUUAGGGAAAGAAAAGAUUCAUAAAUAAUUUCAUGAAGAUUACCUCAAAAUAGAGUCAUAAUU